Molecule: ribosomal RNA, 494 nt
Filed under: uncultured bacterium
Lineage: Bacteria
Description: partial 16S ribosomal RNA
Rfam family: Bacterial small subunit ribosomal RNA
Source: RNAcentral
GACGAACGCUGGCGGCGUGCUUAACACAUGCAAGUCGAACGGAAAGGCCUGCUUUCCCUUGUGGAUUGCGGGUACUCGAGUGGCGAACGGGUGAGUAACACGUGAGUGAUCUGCCCCCAACUUGGGUAUAAGCCUGGGAAACUGGGUCUAAUUCCCGAUAGGACUGCAGGGUGGUGCCUGUGGUGGAAAACGAUUUUCUAGUGGUUGGGGAUGAGCUCGCGGCCUAUCAGCUUGUUGGUGGGGUAAUGGCCUACCAAGGCGGCGACGGGUAGCCGGCCUGAAGGGGUGGACGGCGACAUUGGGAAUGAGCAACGACCCAGACACCUACGGGAGGCAGAAGUGGGGAAUAGUGGAAACUGGGCGGAAGCCUGAAGAAGCGACGCAGGGUGGGGGAUGAAGGGCUUCGGGUUGUAAACUCCUUUCGAGCGCGAAGAAGCCACCUGGCUGGAAGGGUGGUGACGGUAGUGGUAGAAGAAGCACCGGCUAACUACGUG